GACGAACGCUGGCGGCGUGCUUAACACAUGCAAGUCGAACGGAAAGGCCCCUUUGGGGGUACUCGAGUGGCGAACGGGUGAGUAACACGUGAGUAACCUGCCCUUGACUUCGGGAUAACUUCAGGAAACUGGGGCUAAUACCGGAUAGGAAUCCUUGCUGCAUGGUGGGGGUUGGAAAGCUUCGGCGGUUUUGGAUGGACUCGCGGCUUAUCAGCUUGUUGGUGGGGUAGUGGCUUACCAAGGCUUUGACGGGUAGCCGGCCUGAGAGGGCGACCGGCCACAUUGGGACUGAGAUACGGCCCAGACUCCUACGGGAGGCAGCAGUGGGGAAUAUUGCACAAUGGGCGGAAGCCUGAUGCAGCAACGCCGCGUGCUGGAUGACGGCCUUCGGGUUGUAAACCGCUUUCAGCAGGGGCGAAGCUUUUGUGACGGUACCUGCAGAAGAAGCACCGGCUAACUACGUG
This 464-nucleotide ribosomal RNA is filed under the name uncultured bacterium. Its description in RNAcentral is "partial 16S ribosomal RNA". It matches the Rfam family "Bacterial small subunit ribosomal RNA", at positions 28 to 507 of the family's 1533-position model. The record is from RNAcentral.